UACGUAGGGUGCGAGCGUUAUUCGGAAUUAUUGGGCGUAAAGCGCGCGCAGGCGGUCCUUUAAGUCUGAUGUGAAAGCCCACGGCUCAACCGUGGAGGGUCAUUGGAAACUGGGGGGCUUGAGUACAGAAGAGAAGAGUGGAAUUCCACGUGUAGCGGUGAAAUGCGUAGAGAUGUGGAGGAACACCAGUGGCGAAGGCGACUCUUUGGUCUGUAACUGACGCUGAGGCGCGAAAGCGUGGGGAGCAAACAGG
RNAcentral lists this ribosomal RNA (253 nucleotides) under uncultured bacterium. Its description in RNAcentral is "partial 16S ribosomal RNA". It matches the Rfam family "Bacterial small subunit ribosomal RNA", at positions 524 to 776 of the family's 1533-position model. The record is from RNAcentral.